GGAAACUCCUCGCCAACAGCUGGGCAGGACCUCUCGCCGCCCCAGAGCCUUCUCCCUCUCUCCGCUCCCCGCCCGGCUCGCUCUCUCCUAGCUGCCAAUCACGUCCCUUAGACCGGCCCCUCCGAGGGCUUUGGCCAACUUGCAGCUGCCCCUUGCCGCCCCCGGGAGUCCUGGCUCCAAGGAUUUACUCCGCGGUGACUAAGCGCACACGUUUCACAAAGUAACUGAACAGGGGAAGUGGGCUGUAUACUUCCAAAGCACC
Molecule: long non-coding RNA, 262 nt
Organism: Myotis davidii
Lineage: Eukaryota; Metazoa; Chordata; Mammalia; Chiroptera; Vespertilionidae
Exons: 3
Source: RefSeq, a predicted model, not a curated record